Molecule: non-coding RNA, 526 nt
Organism: Nicotiana tabacum (common tobacco)
Lineage: Eukaryota; Viridiplantae; Streptophyta; Magnoliopsida; Solanales; Solanaceae
Source: RefSeq, a predicted model, not a curated record
GGGAAUGCAACAAGCUGCGGCUAAGACAAAGCAAAAAAGGGGGGUUGAAAAAUAAGAGGACAUCCCCUUUUGGCUAACACUCAACGGAAAAGAAAAAAAACGAAAAGGGGAAAAAGUUUUUUGGUGUUGCCUCGUACAAAAUACUGUUUCCAUUCAAACCAUUGGCAUAUAAUCUUAUCUCAACGAUAAGCCCCAGAUUGAUCGGAGGAAGUUGUACAGAUCGCUCGAGGUGGCGAGUUUGGUAUUUGACACGAAUACUAGACAGCAGUUGACGCGAGCGAGAAUUUUGUUUAUUAGAAUACACGAUUUGAUAGUUCCUGGUGAGCCCUGUGCUUGUUCGUGUAGGCAAAGAGUUUAUUUAUUUGUUAUCGUCUUUUCUUAUGAACUCUUAGAGUCGCUAUAUAGUCAUUUUUAUAAGUGUCAUGGGCAUUCAUUCGUUAUAUUGGACUAGUUACUAGUAUUGUACUUCUUUCCGUAUUUUUGAGAUGAGUUUAGUAUUAUUAUGUUGAUAAGGUUGGUAAUUUGG